UAAUAGUAUUGCCUUCAUAGAUUUUAUUUAGUUUAUGGAAUUUUGAUGCUCUUACCUUGUUUAGGUAUGUUGAUGUAUGAGUUAGAGUGAAGUGGAUUUAUUUCCAUUCCUUAAUCCCUCAAUCAUGUUGUAUUUAAUUGUGCAGUCCAAUGAAACAUGCUAUUCGUUUUCCCUUUUUGAUAAUAUGAUAAGAGACUUUUCACAUAUUGUCUUUCUUUAGCCAAAUUGUUUCCCUUUGUUGUAAAAUAAAAGGAUAAUUGUUUAUGACCUGUUUUUAUUAUUGUUCCAAAUGUCCUUAAUAUAUGUUGAGUGUUAUUAAUUGUGAUAUAUUUUUAUUAUUUAUAUUGAUUUCAAUACAAUGCUGAUUAUAAAAAUUACUUUUUUAUGGUGUUGUUGGGCCUUUGUUGGUUCAACUCUGGAGGUACUCUGAUGCCCUGAAUAGGUUGUCCCUUGCUGCUAUGCUUUUCUUCUUCUAUCAGUUUGGCUGUUUCCCUUUUAAUAUGUUGUGUUGGUCUUCUUGUUUGCAGGCCGAAGCAGUGCUUCAGUGAUGUUGCUGUCAUCUUUUUUUUUUUGAAGUGUUUAGUGGUUUCUAGUUCUGUUUUUAGGAGGGCAUCAUGGAGAUAAAGAACUUUCAAUUUCCUUCGCCGGUGACAAAAAUUUCAAUUCUUGAGUGCGCUUUAUUUCUCUGAGAGGUGGAUGUAGCUCAUUCUGUAGCAGUCAAUACUUGUGAUAGAGGUAUUUUAUAUUGAUUAAAUUUAACUUUUAAGGUAAUAGAAAAUUGAAGCGAAAGGUUCUUACAACUUUUUAAUGUGUGUGUGCGCGUGUUGAAAAAAAUCUUGCAUAUGUUCCACCAGUUUGACACUACUGUCACCAGUUUGACAUCUCAU
Trifolium pratense (red clover) is the source of this 887-nucleotide long non-coding RNA. RefSeq lists it as uncharacterized. NCBI's taxonomy places the organism in Eukaryota, Viridiplantae, Streptophyta, Magnoliopsida, Fabales, Fabaceae. The record is from RefSeq and is a predicted model, not a curated record. The transcript has 3 exons.